UCCAUGACAACCAGCACCCCAGGGCUGCCCUGAGUCAACGACUCCUAGAAGAAAAUACAAAUCGUUUUGCUAAAUACAAAGUCUGAAUCUUAAAUUUGGAGAUUUCAUUAAGUAUUGCUGCUGGCAAAAAUGCAAGGUGCGAAUAAAAUCUUCUGAACAAAGCCUGAGACAUGGUCCGUUCACAGCCCUCCAGCCAAAACUGGGACUAAAGAGAGAGACUGCUGCGACUGCUGACGACAGGUACUCUACACUGCGCUGCAGGGACAAUGAGAGACCAGCUCUGUGGCUACUGGACCUAGAGAACAUGGCAGAAGGGAUGUGCCCAUGCUGGUGUCUGAGCACAGGCCUUAAGAAACUGGCAGCUGUUUCCAUUUCCAAUCUUCUAGGACUCUCACCCUUGGACAGGUUCGCCACAGUACAGGAACGGUGGUGAACUCUGCAUGGGCCAGAGGCCCCACUUACUUCCUGGCUGACGGCCAGCACCAACCUACCAGCCCUGUGAGGGAACCACCCCGAAAGCAGAUCCUCCAGGCCCUUCACAGCUGCCUCAGUUACACAGAGCGGGGACAAGCUCUCCUGCCAAAUCCUGCCUAAGCUACAGACCGGUAAAUGUGGGAGUUUCCUACAUCUGCAAUCUAUUUAUCAGAUCAGAAAACAGGCUAAGAAAACAUUGGAAACAGCAGACACUUGGAUUUAUAAGCUUACCUGCAGCUGCACUGGUGGAUGUAAUAGAUGCAGAGGGUAAAGCAGAGUUUUGAAUAGGUCUACCUGCAUUUUCAGAGGGCAGAGAGCUAGUAGUAGAAGGAAUACUCAUCAAAGGCUGUGAGAGAAGAGACUGGUUCUUGUUCAGUAUUUGGCUCCCUGAGAGAGCGGCAGAUGGGUUCUGAACUUGCACUUGAACUUGAGACAUGGUCACUUUCAACAAAAGUGAACAACUGCAGGUAAACAGCUUUCAGUGCAGAUUAAUUCAGUGCUAUGAAGUCUAAAGUUCUACCUGAAAGUUGUAAGGGAAAGAAAAUAAAAAGGUAAAUUAUAGAGAUGAUAUGUAAUUGCCAAUAUUCAGUCAAAACUGGUGUCCACUACUCGAGUCUGAAAAUAGCUCUGCUGAGCAUACAGCUAUGUUGAUUUAUUAGAAGUGUACUUCUCCUUGGUCUAUAGUAAGAUUCCUAGCGUUGUGACUUUCUCAGUGUCUUUAAAUGAUUUACAAUAUUCACAUGCUCUACGCAUUAAUUUUAUGAACAGAAUCAGUAGGGUGUAACAUUUAUUGCUAAAUAUUAAGAAUUAUGAACUACUGUUUAUAUUCAAAAAUGCAAAUUUAGAAGUAUGGAGUGGUCUUCCACAGUGUAUGAGAUAGGAGAAAGGUUUCUGGUCUCAAAAUUAUAAGAUGCUGGAAGCAAGCUGGGUUCCUAACACCAUUAGUCCAUUCACAGGUGAAAGUGAAUAUGACUGCCAUUUAUGGGCCACACCUCAGAUUUGUACCCUUAGAGCUUUCCUUUAAGUGGACUGAAGAAAGGAAGGAAUUCCCAUUUGCAUUGUUUCUUUUCUCCUUAAAAUGAGAAAGGGUCUGUAGGUUCAUUUAGUUACAGGCCCCAAACAAGAAAGGGCUGCGCCCAUAUCAAAGUUCAUAACCCUGAGAAAUUCUCGGAAUAGCAAAGAACAUUCUAAGGUAUUUGUACGAUUAAAAGCAAAAAAUGGAGAAGAUGAAGAGGAACAGAUUUUAGAUUGGCAAUUUACUGUAAGGAGGAAAGGUGCAGAUUCUGGGGAGCAAAGGAGAUUGUAUUCUUCCAUCUUGUAUGUUCCAAAUAUUUCUAAAUAUAUUUAAAUUUUUCACAGGUC
Molecule: long non-coding RNA, 1836 nt
Organism: Talpa occidentalis (Iberian mole)
Lineage: Eukaryota; Metazoa; Chordata; Mammalia; Eulipotyphla; Talpidae
Exons: 4
Source: RefSeq, a predicted model, not a curated record